CACCAAGAAAUUGAGUUAUACAUUUUAUGGUUAAAAGACAGUUAGAUGUUCAAGUGACGAUAUGGGUUAGUUUGAUGCUUUAUGUGGAAGUAAAAUUCGAGUAUAGAUGUAUAGUUUAUUAGUAACUUAUAGGUUGAAUCUGUGAAAUCCUUAAGGGAAACUGGGAUUAGGUACCCCAUUAUUUUUGGAUAUAAAUUGAAUGAAAUUUACCAGAGUACUAUGAAUGUUAAAAAUUUAAAACUCAAAGAACUUGGCGGUGUUUUAGACCACUUAGGGGAACCUGUCUCGUAAUCGAUAGUCCACGUUGUAUCUGACCUUUUUUUGUUUUCAGUUUGUAUACCGUUGUCGUCAGGUAACUUUUUAGAGAUUAGAAGUUAGCAAUAGAAAUGUGAUAAUUUAGUACGUCAAAUCAAGGUGCAGCUAAUAAGAAGGGGAGGAUGGGUUACAGUUAUGUGAUUUAUAAUACGGAAAAAUGCAUGAAAUAGCAUUAAUUUAAGGCGGACUUGAAAGUAAAUUAGAUUAUAUGAAUAAUUUGAAUGAGGCUCUGAAACGUGU
This 555-nucleotide ribosomal RNA is filed under the name Myurellopsis columellaris. RNAcentral's name for it is "partial 12S ribosomal RNA". Lineage: Eukaryota; Metazoa; Mollusca; Gastropoda; Neogastropoda; Terebridae. The record is from RNAcentral.